RNAcentral lists this ribosomal RNA (492 nucleotides) under uncultured bacterium. RNAcentral's name for it is "partial 16S ribosomal RNA". It matches the Rfam family "Bacterial small subunit ribosomal RNA", at positions 29 to 507 of the family's 1533-position model. The record is from RNAcentral.
AGUGAACGCUGGCGGUAGGCCUAACACAUGCAAGUCGAACGGCAGCACAGUAAGAGCUUGCUCUUACGGGUGGCGAGUGGCGGACGGGUGAGGAAUACAUCGGAAUCUACUUUUUCGUGGGGGAUAACGUAGGGAAACUUACGCUAAUACCGCAUACGACCUACGGGUGAAAGCAGGGGAUCUUCGGACCUUGCGCGAUUGAAUGAGCCGAUGUCGGAUUAGCUAGUUGGCGGGGUAAAGGCCCACCAAGGCGACGAUCCGUAGCUGGUCUGAGAGGAUGAUCAGACACACUGGAAAUGAGACACGGUACAGACUCCUACGGGAGGCAGCAGUGGGGAAUAUUGGACAAUGGGCGAAAGCAUGAACCAGCCAUACCGCGUGGGUGAAGGAGGCCUUCGGGUUGUAAAGCCCUUUUGUUGGGAAAGAAAAGCAGCAGGUUAAUACCCCGCUGUUCUGACGGUACCCAAAGAAUAAGCACCGGCUAACUUCGUG